UUUUUAGGGAAAACCAAAAACCCCCCAGGGAGAUUUUCGAGCCAAAAGCCCCAAAACGAGAAAAAAAAAAAAAAAGGAUUUUGGUUUGUGGGUAUUGUAUAAGAGGAAAAACCCAGAAAACCACAAACGGGUUAAAACAAGAGAAAUAGGGAGUCUCUCAUGAAGCCCGCAUCUCCUAGAGAUCUGGUGGAGAAAACGUUGAAAGUGUCACUAGAGAGACAGACAAAGAAGGUAAUGUUUAGGAGAGAUAUAGAGAGAGAAAGAAUGAGCUGGCUAAGAGAAACAAAC
This 288-nucleotide unclassified non-coding RNA is filed under the name Hevea brasiliensis (rubber tree). The record is from RNAcentral. Lineage: Eukaryota; Viridiplantae; Streptophyta; Magnoliopsida; Malpighiales; Euphorbiaceae.